GUGGAAAGAGCUAGGUAGGUUUAGUUUUAGUUUGUGACUCUAAAGUUCAUGGGUUCAAAUCCCAUUUUCCACC
Molecule: transfer RNA, 73 nt
Filed under: Osmundea sinicola
Lineage: Eukaryota; Rhodophyta; Florideophyceae; Ceramiales; Rhodomelaceae
Description: tRNA-His
Rfam family: tRNA
About the family: Transfer RNA (tRNA) molecules are approximately 80 nucleotides in length.
Source: RNAcentral